GAUGAACGCUAGCGGCAGGCCUAAUACAUGCAAGUCGGGCGGGAUUCAGGAGCUUGCUUCUGAUGAGAGUGGCGCACGGGUGCGUAACACGUAUGUAACCUACCUUUAUCAGGGGGAUAGCCUCUCGAAAGAGAGAUUAAGCCCGCAUAAAAUCACAGCACAGCAUUGUGUAAUGAUCAAAUAUUUAUAGGAUAAAGAUGGGCAUGCGGAACAUUAGCUAGAUGGCGGGGUAACGGCCCACCAUGGCGACGAUGUUUAGGGGAUCUGAGAGGAUGGCCCCCCACACUGGUACUGAGACACGGACCAGACUCCUACGGGAGGCAGCAGUAAGGAAUAUUGGUCAAUGGGCGGAAGCCUGAACCAGCCAUGCCGCGUGCAGGAAGACGGCCCUACGGGUUGUAAACUGCUUUUAUACGGGAAUAAACCCAGAUACGUGUAUCUGGCUGAAUGUACUGUAAGAAUAAGGAUCGGCUAACUCCGUG
Molecule: ribosomal RNA, 482 nt
Filed under: uncultured bacterium
Lineage: Bacteria
Description: partial 16S ribosomal RNA
Rfam family: Bacterial small subunit ribosomal RNA
Source: RNAcentral